AGUGGUGAAAAUGUUAGGCAUUAACUUAUUUCACUCAAUUCUGAGCAGAAAUGUCCUGUCUAGUAACAGCUGAAACUUAAGACCCGAACUAAAUACAAGUCAUAUUCUUCACGAACCAUUUUAAAGUAACGAGUUAUUGAUAAACAUUAACUACUGUAGCAUGAACAUAUUUUACGUCCAAGUCUACACCACCUUCACCGGUGAUGGUCAAAACAUAAUACGUUAGUAACCUGGAAAGAAGAUAAACCUUAGACGAUAAGGGAGGGAUUCAACCCCCACCCAUAAGUCGACAAGAAGGAUGCUAGAACAAAACGAGUUACAGGAUUCUAAACAAAACCGGAUUUAAAGUUUUAUUACCUAACCGAUUAUUAGAAGACAGGUAGGUCAUCAUUUCUUUAGGAAUGAACACACGAAACAUCACCUGAGGCUGAAUGUUGGCGAUCUUGUUCCAGGAGAAAUCAAAUU
This is a long non-coding RNA of Limulus polyphemus (Atlantic horseshoe crab), 465 nucleotides long. RefSeq lists it as uncharacterized. Lineage: Eukaryota; Metazoa; Arthropoda; Merostomata; Xiphosura; Limulidae. The record is from RefSeq and is a predicted model, not a curated record. The transcript is spliced from 3 exons.